GUUUCAAUGGAUUUAUCACUGCUGUCUUUAAAAGAUGACGGUUUUCAUCUGACAACUCCUGAUCCUCCUGACACAUCCAAAGAUGAGAUGGAUAGUCUUAAACAAGAACUGGAGAAAUGGAAGGAAAGACUUGAAAAAGCUGAAAAAUUAAAAGCUGACCUUCAAGUUUGUAAAUUAAGUGCUGACGAAGAAUAUGUUAAACAACAGGAUGAGCUGAGACAGCUAAAGGAGCUUGAACGGAACCUUCAUAAAGAGGGUAUUAUGUCUAGGGACACCCACGAGGUAUGGAGAAGGCUUACAGCUCUCAGUAUUUGGGGAAUUGCGAGGGAGGUUUUGGUUAGAGAAGAUAAGAGUAGGAUUUCCUUUCCAGUUUAAACAGCUUCACCACUUUGCAGACUGUAGGACUAGGCUAUUUUACACACAGUUUUUCAAUGGCAGAUUAAGAACUGGUACAAUAAAAUAAAACUUACAGUAAUGUUGGAAGAGUGA
RNAcentral lists this long non-coding RNA (489 nucleotides) under Anas platyrhynchos platyrhynchos (common mallard). RNAcentral's name for it is "lncRNA (ENSAPLG00000020060.1)". The record is from RNAcentral. Lineage: Eukaryota; Metazoa; Chordata; Aves; Anseriformes; Anatidae.